RNAcentral lists this ribosomal RNA (497 nucleotides) under uncultured bacterium. RNAcentral describes it as "partial 16S ribosomal RNA". It matches the Rfam family "Bacterial small subunit ribosomal RNA", at positions 28 to 507 of the family's 1533-position model. The record is from RNAcentral.
GAUGAACGCUGGCGGCGUGCCUAAUACAUGCAAGUCGAGCGAACGGACGAGAAGCUUGCUUCUCUGAUGUUAGCGGCGGACGGGUGAGUAACACGUGGAUAACCUACCUAUAAGACUGGGAUAACUUCGGGAAACCGGAGCUAAUACCGGAUGAUAUUUUGAACCGCAUGGUUCAAAAGUGAAAGACGGUCUUGCUGUCACUUAUAGAUGGAUCCGCGCUGCAUUAGCUAGUUGGUAAGGUAACGGCUUACCAAGGCAACGAUGCAUAGCCGACCUGAGAGGGUGAUCGGCCACACGGGAACUGAGACACGGUCAAGACUCCUACGGGAGGCAGCAGUAGGGAAUCUUUCGCAAUGGGCGAAAGCCUGACGGAGCAACGCCGCGUGAGUGAUGAAGGUCUUCGGAUCGGAAAAAUCUGUUAUUAGGGAAGAACAUAUGUGUAAGUAACUGUGCACAUCUUGACGGUACCUAAUCAGAAAGCCACGGCUAACUACGUG